AUCGAUACGGGUUGUGGGAGCAAGAGCCCGGAGAUGGAUUCUGAGACACGAAUCCAGGCCCUACGGGGCGCAGCAGGCGCGAAAACUUUACAAUGCGAGAAAUCGUGAUAAGGGAACCCCGAGUGCCCGUAAAUUCGGGCUGUCCAUCAGUGCAAAAAACUGGUGAAGAAAGAGCCGGGCAAGACCGGUGCCAGCCGCCGCGGUAAUACCGGCGGCUCGAGUGGUGGCCACUAUUACUGGGCUUAAAGCGUCCGUAGCUUGGUUGUUAAGUCUUCUGGGAAAUCCAUCGGCUUAACCGAUGGGAGUUCAGGAGAUACUGGCAACCUAGGGACCGGGAGAGGUGAGAGGUACUCCAGGGGUAGGAGUGAAAUCCUGUAAUCCUUGGGGGACCACCUGUGGCGAAGGCGUCUCACUAGAACGGCUCCGACAGUGAGGGACGAAAGCUGGGGGAGCAAACCGGAUUAGAUACCCGGGUAGUCCCAGCUGUAAACUAUGCGCGUUAGGUG
This 506-nucleotide ribosomal RNA is filed under the name uncultured Methanomicrobiales archaeon. Its description in RNAcentral is "bacterial SSU rRNA". It matches the Rfam family "Archaeal small subunit ribosomal RNA", at positions 263 to 773 of the family's 1478-position model. Lineage: Archaea; Methanobacteriati; Methanobacteriota; Methanomicrobia; Methanomicrobiales. The record is from RNAcentral.